This 68-nucleotide transfer RNA is filed under the name bovine gut metagenome. It matches the Rfam family "tRNA". From Rfam's summary of the family: Transfer RNA (tRNA) molecules are approximately 80 nucleotides in length. Their secondary structure includes four short double-helical elements and three loops (D, anti-codon, and T loops). RNAcentral also lists the same sequence under 1 other name. The record is from RNAcentral.
GGGUCAUAGCCAAGUGGUAAGGCAGUGGACUGCAACUCCUUGAUCGUUGGUUCAAAUCCGACUGGCCC